CUUUAGAGCUGACCUAUCCCCUCCGUGUUAGUUCCCGGUGUCCCUCUGCAAGAGGUAGGAGGGGGCAGAGGCAGGCACUCAGGAGCCUCCUCAACACUCUACCUCCCACUAGCCACCCUGCUCAACGGCUGACAUGACCAGCACUCAGCUCUUCUACAGUAGAUAUGAGGACAACAGCGGCAUCCUGAGCUGACAAAGACACACUUCAUUGAAGGAACAAGAGGCUGGCCCUCUGAUCAGCAGCACUUCCUUAAUAAGAUGCACCUCCCCAGGAUCAUGAAGAGAACCCAGUCACCCCACAGAGAGACCGUUUCCCCUGUCCUCUCAUACUACUCAGAGCCAGCCUACCUGCAGCACCGUAAGGAUGUGACUAGAGAUCUGGCCCCGCUGCCUGGUGCAACGAGAAGAGGAGCCCUGGAUGAGGAAGAACAGGAAGAGACGCUGAGCCUACGGAGCAUGCCCAGUAUGAGAAGCACCCUGAGUCACGCCUCAAAGGUGAAAAGGUCACGGGGCUUCCCGAAGAGACACACCGUCCCCGAGCUCAGACUGCCCCCUGUUACUAAGAUUCAUCCUGACCCCAGAGCCAGUCUGGAAUUGAGGGGUACUGGCUACCUGAGAUGUUCCAGACUUCCACCCAUCAUCAAAUCUACCAGAACCCACGAGCCUCUGCACCAGGAAAGACCCGCAGGUCCAGCUGGGUACAGGCCUGAGAAGAAGGGAGAUGUUCCCCCUGGAUUUCCAGAGAAGAAGACUGUUGGUCUGAAGAAGCAGGGAGAUGUUCCCUCUGGACUUCCUGAGAAGAAGACUGUUGGUCUGAAGAAGCAGGGAGAUGUUCCCUCUGGACUUCCUGAGAAGAAGGGAGAUAUUCCCCCUGGACUUCCUGAGAAGAAGGGAGAUGUUCCCCCUGGACUUCCUGAGAAGAAGGGAGAUGUUCCCUCUGGACUUCCUGAGAAGAAGAGUGUUGGUCUGAAGAAGCAGGGAGAUGUUCCCCCUGGACUGCCAGAGAAGAAGACUGUUGGUCUGAAGAAGAGUUUUAAUAAUGAGGACCUCCUCAAAGCACCUGUUGUGACCAUGUCCAAGAUCAUUUCUGAUCCACCUCCAACUAAGACCCAACGCAUCACGUUCCACAGCCCCGCGCCGCAGGCCGUGUACCCGAUAACCCUUGACAACGAAACGCAAACCAGGAAGCCAGAGGAAGAUAGAAAACCCCCGUAUCCCAGAGUCCUCUCUUCUACAGCCACCUGCGCUAUAUCUAACACCAUCGGUCCUGAGAAAGUAUACAGAUUCCAGCCACACCUUCUGAGAGAUAACACCCCUCCAUACUCUGAGUGGACCGAUCCAAAGGCUUUAACCCAAGGAAGGACUGAGUGGACUGAACCAAGGGCUCCAACCCAGGGGAGGGGAGCGAUGCUGUUGAUCAGACUGAGCAUCACAUGGUCCAAGGCUGAGAACAGCAGCAACCUGAGACAGCCACAGUCCCAGUCUCAGCUCCAGCGUUGCCCCAUCCGUCCCCUGAAACCAGCCCUGAGAAGACUACCCAUCUCCAACACAAGGAGGCUGAGGGACUGGGGGAGACUGGGGACGACGUUGGGGUGUCUGUGGGAGGAGGAGGAGGAGGGGUGUGUCCCAGUCCAGCCUGGGUUACUGGAACCCUUUACAGGGUUUAAAGAGCACCUCUGUCGCCAGCUUCUCCACCCCCCCCCCCUAGCUCAGCUCCCGGAGAAGGCCUCAGAGGGAGACCAUAUAGACACACAGGCAGACAGACAGGCAGACAGAACAGUAGACAGACAGUAUAGACAGACAGGUAGACAGACAGUAUAGACAGACCGGUAGACAGACAGGUAGACAGACCGGCAGACAGACCGGCAGACAGACCGGCAGACAGACCGGCAGACAGACCGGCAGACAGACCGGCAGACAGACAGACCGGUAAACAGACAGGUAGACAGACCGUAUAGACAGACCAGGUAGACAGACAGUAUAGACAGACAGGUAGACAGACAGUAUAGACAGACAGUAUAGACAGACAGUAUAGACAGACCGGUAGACAGACAGUAUAGACAGACAGGUAGACAGACCGGUAAUGUCCCAGGCUCCACAGGGGAAUACCCUCCAGACCCCCUGCAGUACUCUGCCAGCCCAUACCGUGCAGCUGUCUGGAUCUCAGGGUCCAGGAGGGGCUCUACCCAGAAUCCCCAUGACCAGACCAACUCCUUCCCCCAAGCUCCCCCUCCUUCACUCACACAGUAAGAACAGGCAUGCAGCAUACAGCAUAGAUAGAUGGUCUGUUUUACAUGGAGCUGUCACUCGACAGGCCUGUUCUACCACGGAACCGUCAAUCUACAGGCCUGUUCUACCAUGGAACCGUCACUCUGCAGGCCUGUUCUACCACGGAACCGUCACUCUUACAGGCCUGUUCUACCACGGAACCGUCACUCGACAGGCCUGUUCUACCACGGAACCGUCAAUCUACAGGCCUGUUCUACCACGGAACCGUCACUCUGCAGGCCUGUUCUACCACGGAACCGUCACUCUUACAGGCCUGUUCUACCACGGAACCGUCACUCGACAGGCCUGUUCUACCACGGAACCGUCACUCUACAGGCCGGUUCUAACUCGAAACUGUCACUCUACAGGCCUGUUCUACCAAGGAACCGUCAAUCUUUAGAGGCGCCGAGACACAGCCCUGGGGGACUCUGCCUUCAGCACUGCUAAUAAGGAGGAUAAUUGUUUUAGCUAUACAGAGGAUUGCUACGGCCUGGUCUGCUGAGACGAGCACCAUCCCAAAACACACAGUAUGGUCAGUCCAGACACCACAGAGACGAGGCCUCCUAAAUGGUACACUAUCCUUAUACAGGGCCCAUAGGGCUCUGGUCAGAAGUAAUGCAACUCUAUACGAAAUAGGGACUCGGCCAUGGCCUGAACGAUAGUCAUUGACGUUGGUUGUAGUGGUGUGAGAGAGAGUUGUUUGUUAGCUGUGACAAGACUAUAAAGUCUGUAAAAAUCUCUGUCCUGUGUAGUUAGCUACUACAUUCUGUUCUCUAUGUCCUGUGUAGUUAGCUGCUACAUUCUCUAUGUCCUGUGUAGUUAGCUGCUACAUUCUCUAUGUCCUGUGUAGUUAGCUGCUACAUUCUGUUCUCUAUGUCUUGUGUAGUUAGCUGCUACAUUCUGUUCUCUAUGUCCUGUGUAGUUAGCUGCUACAUUCUGUUCUCUAUGUCUUGUGUAGUUAGCUGAUACAUUCUCUAUGUCCUGUGUAGUUAGCUGAUACAUUCUGUUCUCUAUGUCCUGUGUAGUUAGCUGAUACAUUCUGCUCUCUCUCUGACAAGUUGGCUUGUGAAGAUCACUCUGUCAAUGCAUGUUUUUUUUGUAGUUUUCUCGACAAAUCCUCUAUUUUGGAGAGCACCAUCUUAUUCUGUAUACUGAUUAUAAUAUUACCAUUGUAAUAUGUACCCCCCCCCUCCUUACAUUUCCAUGUGUUGAAUUGCGACAACGGUUUCUUAACCAGCAUUCACUAAAAUGUUUCUUUACAUGACGAUUUUCUCUAUUGAAGAAAUAAACAUUCGCUUCAAUGGGCUAAAAUGGACAUAUGUUGGCAAGA
Molecule: RNA transcript, 3598 nt
Organism: Oncorhynchus keta (chum salmon)
Lineage: Eukaryota; Metazoa; Chordata; Actinopteri; Salmoniformes; Salmonidae
Gene name: titin
Exons: 8
Source: RefSeq, a predicted model, not a curated record